RNAcentral lists this unclassified non-coding RNA (299 nucleotides) under Mesorhizobium loti. RNAcentral describes it as "partial ribonuclease P RNA". It matches the Rfam family "Bacterial RNase P class A", at positions 62 to 327 of the family's 367-position model. Rfam says of the family: Ribonuclease P (RNase P) is a ubiquitous endoribonuclease, found in archaea, bacteria and eukarya as well as chloroplasts and mitochondria. Its best characterised activity is the generation of mature 5'-ends of tRNAs by cleaving the 5'-leader elements of precursor-tRNAs. Lineage: Bacteria; Pseudomonadati; Pseudomonadota; Alphaproteobacteria; Hyphomicrobiales; Phyllobacteriaceae. The record is from RNAcentral.
UGGAAACACGGUGCCGGUUAAUGGCCGGCGGGGGCGACCCCAGGGAAAGUGCCACAGAAAGCAAACCGCCACGGUUUACCCGUGGCAAGGGUGAAAGGGUGGGGUAAGAGCCCACCGCGCGACUGGCAACAGGAGCGGCACGGUAAACCCCACCGGGAGCAAGACCGAAUAGGGGCGGUGCGAGGGGAAACCCUCGAGGGCUGUUUCCGGCUCACCGUCCGGGUAGGUUGCGUGAGGCGCAUGGCAACAUGCGCCCAAGAUGAAUGGCCGCCACGUUCUCGCCUCGCAAGGGGCGAGGG